AGAGUUUGCUCCUGGCUCAGGACGAACGCUGGCGGCGCGCCUAACACAUGCAAGUCGAACGAGAGAUGAGGAGCUUGCUCUUCAAAUCGAGUGGCGAACGGGUGAGUAACGCGUGAGGAACCUGCCUCAAAGAGGGGGACAACAGUUGGAAACGACUGCUAAUACCGCAUAAGCCCACGGCUCGGCAUCGAGCAGAGGGAAAAGGAGCAAUCCGCUUUGAGAUGGCCUCGCGUCCGAUUAGCUAGUUGGUGAGGUAACGGCCCACCAAGGCGACGAUCGGUAGCCGGACUGAGAGGUUGAACGGCCACAUUGGGACUGAGACACGGCCCAGACUCCUACGGGAGGCAGCAGUGGGGAAUAUUGCACAAUGGGGGAAACCCUGAUGCAGCGACGCCGCGUGGAGGAAGAAGGUCUUCGGAUUGUAAACUCCUGUUGUUGAGGAAGAUAAUGACGGUACUCAACAAGGAAGUGACGGCUAACUACGUGCCAGCAGCCGCGGUAAAACGUAGGUCACAAGCGUUGUCCGGAAUUACUGGGUGUAAAGGGAGCGCAGGCGGGAGAACAAGUUGGAAGUGAAAUCCAUGGGCUCAACCCAUGAACUGCUUUNCAAACUGUUUUUCUUGAGUAGUGCAGAGGUANGCGGAAUUCCCGGUGUAGCGGUGGAAUGCGUAGAUAUCGGGAGGAACACCAGUGGCGAAGGCGGCCUACUGGGCACCAACUGACGCUGAGGCUCGAAAGUGUGGGUAGCAAACAGGAUUAGAUACCCUGGUAGUCCACACCGUAAACGAUGAUUACUAGGUGUUGGAGGAUUGACCCCUUCAGUGCCGCAGUUAACACAAUAAGUAAUCCACCUGGGGAGUACGACCGCAAGGUUGAAACUCAAAGGAAUUGACGGGGGCCCGCACAAGCAGUGGAGUAUGUGGUUUAAUUCGACGCAACACGAAGAACCUUACCAAGUCUUGACAUCCCUUGACGAACAUAGAAAUAUGUUUUCUCUUCGGAGCAAGGAGACAGGUGGUGCAUGGUUGUCGUCAGCUCGUGUCGUGAGAUGUUGGGUUAAGUCCCGCAACGAGCGCAACCCUUAUGGUCAGUUACUACGCAAGAGGACUCUGGCCAGACUGCCGUUGACAAAACGGAGGAAGGUGGGGAUGACGUCAAAUCAUCAUGCCCUUUAUGACUUGGGCUACACACGUACUACAAUGGCGUUAAACAAAGAGAAGCAAGACCGCGAGGUGGAGCAAAACUCAGAAACAACGUCCCAGUUCGGACUGCAGGCUGCAACUCGCCUGCACGAAGUCGGAAUUGCUAGUAAUCGUGGAUCAGCAUGCCACGGUGAAUACGUUCCCGGGCCUUGACACACCGCCCGUCA
Molecule: ribosomal RNA, 1369 nt
Filed under: uncultured bacterium
Lineage: Bacteria
Description: 16S ribosomal RNA
Rfam family: Bacterial small subunit ribosomal RNA
Source: RNAcentral